AAGUCGGUGAGGUAACCUUUUUGGAGCCAGCCGCCUAAGGUGGGAUAGAUGAUUGGGGUGAAGUCGUAACAAGGUAGCCGUAUCGGAAGGUGCGGCUGGAUCACCUCCUUUCUAAGGAA
RNAcentral lists this ribosomal RNA (119 nucleotides) under Enterococcus faecium. RNAcentral's name for it is "partial 16S ribosomal RNA". It matches the Rfam family "Bacterial small subunit ribosomal RNA", at positions 1424 to 1533 of the family's 1533-position model. Lineage: Bacteria; Bacillati; Bacillota; Bacilli; Lactobacillales; Enterococcaceae. The record is from RNAcentral.